Molecule: transfer RNA, 76 nt
Filed under: Fibrobacter sp.
Lineage: Bacteria; Pseudomonadati; Fibrobacterota; Fibrobacteria; Fibrobacterales; Fibrobacteraceae
Also listed under: 1 other name
Description: tRNA-Glu
Rfam family: tRNA
About the family: Transfer RNA (tRNA) molecules are approximately 80 nucleotides in length.
Source: RNAcentral
GGCGCUAUCGUCUAGUGGCCCAGGACGGGUGGUUCUCAGCCAUCAAACAGGGGUUCGAUUCCCCUUAGCGCUACCA